CGGGUACGCCGACAAACCGCCGAACGGACAGAGUUUCUCCUAUACGUCCUAUGUGUCGCAAUCAAUACAACACAAGAGGUUCCAAUACAAUAUUCAAUAUACAGAUUGCAUAAGGAAGUAUCAAAAAUAUAAACACCUAAAUUAUUACAUACAUUCACCAGCUUACAUUCAACUUUUACAUAUUACAUUAAAUUUCCAAAUACAAUCUAAGUUAUUACAAGUUUACAAUUUGAUACAUUU
Molecule: long non-coding RNA, 240 nt
Filed under: Ananas comosus (pineapple)
Lineage: Eukaryota; Viridiplantae; Streptophyta; Magnoliopsida; Poales; Bromeliaceae
Description: long non-coding RNA (ACOM_LNC041937)
Source: RNAcentral